AGCACGCGAGGUUCCCAGGUGGUUAUUCUCCCAAGUACUGACCCACCCGAUACUGCUUAACAGCGGUGAUCAGACGAUAACCGGUGCUUUAAGCAUGGUUUGGACGU
This is a non-coding RNA of Araneus ventricosus, 107 nucleotides long. Lineage: Eukaryota; Metazoa; Arthropoda; Arachnida; Araneae; Araneidae. The record is from the annotation of a GenBank genome assembly.